Molecule: ribosomal RNA, 614 nt
Filed under: uncultured Acidaminococcus sp.
Lineage: Bacteria; Bacillati; Bacillota; Negativicutes; Acidaminococcales; Acidaminococcaceae
Description: bacterial SSU rRNA
Rfam family: Bacterial small subunit ribosomal RNA
Source: RNAcentral
UGGAAGUCGAACGGAGAAUUUAUUUCGGUAAAUUCUUAGUGGCGAACGGGUGAGUAACGCGUAGGCAACCUGCCCUUUGGAUGGGGACAACAUUCCGAAAGGAGUGCUAAUACCGAAUGUGAUCCAUCUCUCGCAUGAGAGAUGGAUGAAAGAUGGCCUCUAUUUAUAAGCUAUCGCCAAAGGAUGGGCCUGCGUCUGAUUAGUUAGUUGGUGGGGUAACGGCUCACCAAGACGAUGAUCAGUAGCCGGUCUGAGAGGAUGAACGGCCACAUUGGGACUGAGACACGGCCCAAACUCCUACGGGAGGCAGCAGUGGGGAAUCUUCCGCAAUGGACGAAAGUCUGACGGAGCAACGCCGCGUGAGUGAUGAAGGUUUUCGGACUGUAAAACUCUGUUGUCAGGGACGAAGGUGCGAUCUGCGAAUAGUUGAUCGUAUUGACGGUACCUGACGAGGAAGCCACGGCUAACUACGUGCCAGCAGCCGCGGUAAUACGUAGGUGGCAAGCGUUGUCCGGAAUUAUUGGGCGUAAAGAGCAUGUAGGUGGGCUUUUAAGUCCGAUGUGAAAAUGCGGGGCUCAACCCCGUAUGGCAUUGGAUACUGGAAGUCUUGAGUG